This 999-nucleotide ribosomal RNA is filed under the name Lactiplantibacillus plantarum. Its description in RNAcentral is "bacterial SSU rRNA". It matches the Rfam family "Bacterial small subunit ribosomal RNA", at positions 211 to 1203 of the family's 1533-position model. The record is from RNAcentral. Lineage: Bacteria; Bacillati; Bacillota; Bacilli; Lactobacillales; Lactobacillaceae.
GCUAUCACUUUUGGAUGGUCCCGCGGCGUAUUAGCUAGAUGGUGGGGUAACGGCUCACCAUGGCAAUGAUACGUAGCCGACCUGAGAGGGUAAUCGGCCACAUUGGGACUGAGACACGGCCCAAACUCCUACGGGAGGCAGCAGUAGGGAAUCUUCCACAAUGGACGAAAGUCUGAUGGAGCAACGCCGCGUGAGUGAAGAAGGGUUUCGGCUCGUAAAACUCUGUUGUUAAAGAAGAACAUAUCUGAGAGUAACUGUUCAGGUAUUGACGGUAUUUAACCAGAAAGCCACGGCUAACUACGUGCCAGCAGCCGCGGUAAUACGUAGGUGGCAAGCGUUGUCCGGAUUUAUUGGGCGUAAAGCGAGCGCAGGCGGUUUUUUAAGUCUGAUGUGAAAGCCUUCGGCUCAACCGAAGAAGUGCAUCGGAAACUGGGAAACUUGAGUGCAGAAGAGGACAGUGGAACUCCAUGUGUAGCGGUGAAAUGCGUAGAUAUAUGGAAGAACACCAGUGGCGAAGGCGGCUGUCUGGUCUGUAACUGACGCUGAGGCUCGAAAGUAUGGGUAGCAAACAGGAUUAGAUACCCUGGUAGUCCAUACCGUAAACGAUGAAUGCUAAGUGUUGGAGGGUUUCCGCCCUUCAGUGCUGCAGCUAACGCAUUAAGCAUUCCGCCUGGGGAGUACGGCCGCAAGGCUGAAACUCAAAGGAAUUGACGGGGGCCCGCACAAGCGGUGGAGCAUGUGGUUUAAUUCGAAGCUACGCGAAGAACCUUACCAGGUCUUGACAUACUAUGCAAAUCUAAGAGAUUAGACGUUCCCUUCGGGGACAUGGAUACAGGUGGUGCAUGGUUGUCGUCAGCUCGUGUCGUGAGAUGUUGGGUUAAGUCCCGCAACGAGCGCAACCCUUAUUAUCAGUUGCCAGCAUUAAGUUGGGCACUCUGGUGAGACUGCCGGUGACAAACCGGAGGAAGGUGGGGAUGACGUCAAAUCAUCAUGCCCCUU